AGCGAACGCUGGCGGCAGGCUUAACACAUGCAAGUCGAGCGGGCGUAGCAAUACGUCAGCGGCAGACGGGUGAGUAACGCGUGGGAACGUACCUUUUGGUUCGGAACAACACAGGGAAACUUGUGCUAAUACCGGAUAAGCCCUUACGGGGAAAGAUUUAUCGCCGAAAGAUCGGCCCGCGUCUGAUUAGCUAGUUGGUAGGGUAAUGGCCUACCAAGGCGACGAUCAGUAGCUGGUCUGAGAGGAUGAUCAGCCACAUUGGGACUGAGACACGGCCCAAACUCCUACGGGGGGCAGCAGUGGGGAAUAUUGGACAAUGGGGGCAACCCUGUUCCAGCCAUGCCGCGUGAGUGAUGAAGGCCCUAGGGUUGUAAAGCUCUUUUGUGCGGGAAGAUAAUGGCGGUACCGCAAGAAUAAGCCCCGGCUAACUUCGUGCCAGCAGCCGCCGUAA
This 451-nucleotide ribosomal RNA is filed under the name uncultured bacterium. RNAcentral describes it as "partial 16S ribosomal RNA". It matches the Rfam family "Bacterial small subunit ribosomal RNA", at positions 29 to 523 of the family's 1533-position model. The record is from RNAcentral.